This 1463-nucleotide ribosomal RNA is filed under the name uncultured Bordetella sp. RNAcentral describes it as "partial 16S-23S ribosomal RNA intergenic spacer". It matches the Rfam family "Bacterial small subunit ribosomal RNA". The record is from RNAcentral. Lineage: Bacteria; Pseudomonadati; Pseudomonadota; Betaproteobacteria; Burkholderiales; Alcaligenaceae.
UAUUCGAUUAUGGCUCAGAUUUAACGCUGGCGGGAUGUUUACACAUGUAAGUCGAACGCAGCACGGACUUCUGGUCUGGUGGCGAGUGGCGAACGGGUGAGUAAUGUAUCGAAUCGCUCUAGUAGCGGGGAUAACUACGCGAAAGCGGCUACCGCAUACGCCCUUCGGGGGAAAGCGGGACCUUCGGGCCUCGCACUAUUAGAGCGGCCGGGAUAUCAUGGAUUAGCUAGUUGGUGGGGCAACGGCUCACCGGGCGCGACGAUCCGUAGCUGGUUUUGAGGAGGACGACCAGCCACACUGGACUGAGACACGGCCCAGACUCCUUACGGGGAGGCAGCAGUGGGGAAUUUUGGACAAUGGGGGAACCCCGAUCCAGCCAUCCUGCGCGUGUGCGAUGAAGGCCUUCGGGUUGUAAAGCACUUUUGGCAGGAAAAGAAACGGCACGGGAUAAUACCUGCAAUUGACGGUACCUGCAGAAUAAGCACCGGCUAACUACGUGCCAGCAGCCGCGGUAAUACGUAGGGUGCAAGCGUUAAUCGGAAUUACCGGGCGUAAGCGUGCGCAGGCGGUUCGGAAAGAAAGAUGUGAAAUCCCAGAGCUUAACUUUGGAACUGCUUUAACUACCGAGCUAGAGUGUGUCAGAGGGAGGGAAUUCCGCGUGUAGGUGAAUGCGCAGAUAUGCGGAGGAACACCGAUGGCGAAGGCAGCCUCCUGGGAUAACACUGACGCUCAUGCACGAAAGCGUGGGGAGCAAACAGGAUUAGAUACUCCUAUAGCCCACGGCCUAAACGAUGUCAACUAGCUGUUGGGGCCUCGGGCCUUGGUAGCGCAGCGACCGCGUGAAGUUGACCGCCUGGGGAGUACGGUCGCAAGAUUAAAACUCAAAGGAAUUGGACGGACCCGCACAAGCGGUGGAUGAUGUGGAUUAAUCGAUGCAAUGCUAAAGUCACCUACCCUUGACAUGUCUGGAAUCCCGAAGGAUUUGGGAGUGCCUGCAAGAGAACCGGAACACAGGUGCUGCAUGGCUGUCGUCAGCCUGUGUCGUGAGAUGUUGGGUUAAGUCCCGCAACGAGCGCAACCCUGUCAUUAGUUGCUACGAAAGGGCACUUGGCAUCGAGACUGCUGCGACAAACCGAGGGAAGGUGGGAUGGACAAGUCCUCAUGGCCUUAUGGGUAGGGCUUGGCACGUCAUAUAAUGGUCGACAGAGGGUCGCCAACCCGCGAGGGGGAGCCAAUCCCAGAAACCCGAUCGUAGUCCGGAUCGCAGUCUGCAACUCGACUGCGUGAAGUCGGAAUCGCUAGUAAUCGCGGAUCAGCAUGUCGCGGUGAAUACGUUCCCGGGUCCUGUACAAUAUCGCCCGUCACACCAUGGGAGUGGGUUUUACCAGAAGUAGUUAGCCUAACCGUAAGGAGGGCGAUUACCACGGUAGGAUUCAUGACUGGGGUGAAGUCGUAACAAGGUA